CCUGGCAGACCAACAACAGCGUGAUUGAUGGUUCCUCUGCUUUUGUCAUUUAUUUGCCUUGUUUUUUUCCCUUCCCCCAACAGAGCUGAUAAGGAAGGUUUUGCUAGAGAAUCAUGUAUCGCUUCUUUUUUUUCCCUCUGACCAGUGAGAUGCAGUUCUCUAUUACUCUGGCCACUUUUCAAGGGUGUAAAGUUAGAGGCGCUACUCUGCCCUCCCUUGAAGUAGCCGGCAUUUUGUUCGGGACCUCAAGUGGCGCCUGACCACCUCCGCCAGUCUUGGAGAUGACAGAUCCGUUUACAGCGCUGCCGAGUGAAGUCAUAUUAAGUCGUCCGUCUCUGCCAAAUGCUAUUCAUUGUGAGAUCUGCCUCAUAAUAAAGCAUGAUGGAUUGCUUCUUUUGGCCAGAGAAUAACUUAACCUCUGACUCGAGAUGGAGGCAUAAGCAAGAUCAGUUUCAGUUGUUGGAGAAAAAUGAAGUCCUUGUCCAGGCACACAGUCCACUGCAUGGAAAAUAUGGGGUCACUGUUCCUAAGAGGCAACUCCCUUUUUCCUGCAAGUUGAUUAUUUGUUGGUUUUACUGGAGACAGUCCUGCCUUGGAGACAGUGAUGCUCAUGGUGAGACUGGGGUGGGAAGGUUGGCUGAGGAAGAG
RNAcentral lists this long non-coding RNA (648 nucleotides) under Bos indicus x Bos taurus (hybrid cattle). Its description in RNAcentral is "lncRNA (ENSBIXG00005014451.1)". Lineage: Eukaryota; Metazoa; Chordata; Mammalia; Artiodactyla; Bovidae. The record is from RNAcentral.